RNAcentral lists this ribosomal RNA (421 nucleotides) under uncultured archaeon. RNAcentral's name for it is "partial 16S ribosomal RNA". It matches the Rfam family "Archaeal small subunit ribosomal RNA", at positions 323 to 746 of the family's 1478-position model. The record is from RNAcentral.
CUACGGGGGGCAGCAGUUAGGUAUAAUCUACAAUGCGCGAAAGCGUGAUAGUUUGAGCCAGAGUGCUUUGCAAUUGCAAAGCUUUUGCCGAAUGUAAAAAGUUCGGCGAAUAAGGACUGGGUAAGACGAGUGCCAGCCGCCGCGGUAAUACUCGCGGUCCAAGUCGCAGCCAUUUUUAUUGGGUCUAAAACAUCCGUAGCUUGUUUUGUAAGUUUCUUGUGAAAUUUUAUGUCUUGAGCAUAGAGCGCGCAAGAAGUACUGCAGAACUAGAGACCGGAAGACGUAAGGAGUACGUUCAAAGUAGUGGUAAAAUGUGUUAAUCUUGGACGGACUUACAAGCGCGAAGGCACCUUACGAGGACGGUUCUGACAGUAAGGGAUGAAGGCUAGGGGCGCAAAACGGAUUAGAUACCCGCGUAGUC